Molecule: small nuclear RNA, 21 nt
Filed under: Arabidopsis thaliana (thale cress)
Lineage: Eukaryota; Viridiplantae; Streptophyta; Magnoliopsida; Brassicales; Brassicaceae
Description: snRNA_12050
Source: RNAcentral
GGGUGCACCGCCGACCGACCU